This 493-nucleotide ribosomal RNA is filed under the name uncultured bacterium. Its description in RNAcentral is "bacterial SSU rRNA". It matches the Rfam family "Bacterial small subunit ribosomal RNA", at positions 29 to 524 of the family's 1533-position model. The record is from RNAcentral.
AUUGAACGCUGGCGGAAUGCUUUACACAUGCAAGUCGGGCGGCAGCGCGGGGGCAACCCUGGCGGCGAGCGGCGAACGGGUGAGUAACACAUCGGAACGUACCCUGUCGUGGGGGAUAACGAAUCGAAAGAUUCGCUAAUACCGCAUACGACCUGAGGGUGAAAGCGGGGGAUCGCAAGACCUCGCGCGAGAGGAGCGGCCGAUGGCGGAUUAGCUAGUUGGUGGGGUAAAGGCCCCACCAAGGCGACGAUCCGUAGCGGGUCUGAGAGGACGGCCCGCCACACUGGGACUGAGACACGGCCCAGACUCCUACGGGAGGCAGCAGUGGGGAAUUUUGGACAAUGGGCGAAAGCCUGAUCCAGCCAUGCCGCGUGAGUGAAGAAGGCCUGGUUGUAAAGCUCUUCGUGGGAGAAUAGCAUAGGCUAAUACCCUGUGUAGAUGACGGUACCUGGAGAGAAGCACCGGCUAACUACGUGCCAGCAGCCGCGGUAAU